CAUGCGCGCACGCUCACACAGACAUCUGUAGAACAGCCGUAGCGUUGUAGCCUGACUGGUCUCAAAGGGGACAGGAAUCAGUGAGGUGUGUUGUAGCCUGACCGGUCUCAAAGGGGACAGGAAUCACUGAGGUGUGUUGUAGCCUGACCGGUCUCAAAGGGGACAGGAAUCAGUGAGGUGUGUUGUAGCCUGACCGGUCUCAAAGGGGACAGGAAUCAGUGAGGUGUGUUGUAGCCUGACCGGUCUCAAAGGGGACAGGAAUCACUGAGGUGUGUUGUAGCCUGACCGGUCUCAAAGGGGACAGGAAUCACUGAGGUGUGUUGUAGCCUGAUGUGUCUCAAAGGGGACAGGAAUCACUGAGGUGUGUUGUAGCCUGAUGUGUCUCAAAGGGGACAGGAAUCACUGAGGUGUGUUGUAGCCUGAUGUGUCUCAAAGGGGACAGGAAUCACUGAGGUGUGUUGUAGCCUGACCGGUCUCAAAGGGGACAGGAAUCACUGAGGUGUGUUGUAGCCUGAUGUGUCUCAAAGGGGACAGGAAUCACUGAGGUGUGUUGUAGCCUGACCGGUCUCAAAGGGGACAGGAAUCACUGAGGUGUGUUGUAGCCUGAUGUGUCUCAAAGGGGACAGGAAUCACUGAGGUGUGUUGUAGCCUGACCGGUCUCAAAGGGGACAGGAAUCACUGAGGUGUGUUGUAGCCUGAUGUGUCUCAAAGGGGACAGGAAUCACUGAGGUGUGUUGUAGCCUGACCGGUCUCAAAGGGGACAGGAAUCACUGAGGUGUGUUGUAGCCUGAUGUGUCUCAAAGGGGACAGGAAUCACUGAGGUGUGUUGUAGCCUGAUGCGUCUCAAAGGGGACAGGAAUCACUGAGGUGUGUUGUAGCCUGACUGGUCUCAAAGGGGACAGGAAUCACUGAGGUGUGUUGUAGCCUGACCGGUCUCAAAGGGGACAGGAAUCACUGAGGUGUGUUGUAGCCUGACCGGUCUCAAAGGGGACAGGAAUCACUGAGGUGUGUUGUAGCCUGACCGGUCUCAAAGGGGACAGGAAUCAGUGAGGUGUGUUGUAGCCUGACCGGUCUCAAAGGGGACAGGAAUCAGUGAGGUGUGUUGUAGCCUGACCGGUCUCAAAGGGGACAGGAAUCACUGAGGUGUGUUGUAGCCUGACCGGUCUCAAAGGGGACAGGAAUCACUGAGGUGUGUUGUAGCCUGACCGGUCUCAAAGGGGACAGGAAUCACUGAGGUGUGUUGUAGCCUGACCGGUCUCAAAGGGGACAG
This is a long non-coding RNA of Oncorhynchus keta (chum salmon), 1270 nucleotides long. RefSeq lists it as uncharacterized. The transcript has 9 exons. NCBI's taxonomy places the organism in Eukaryota, Metazoa, Chordata, Actinopteri, Salmoniformes, Salmonidae. The record is from RefSeq and is a predicted model, not a curated record.